Long non-coding RNA from Nerophis ophidion (straightnose pipefish), 1736 nucleotides. RefSeq lists it as uncharacterized. NCBI's taxonomy places the organism in Eukaryota, Metazoa, Chordata, Actinopteri, Syngnathiformes, Syngnathidae. The transcript has 5 exons. The record is from RefSeq and is a predicted model, not a curated record.
UCUUCUUCUCUUUCUUCUUCGUUUUAGUUUAAGGUAGGCGCAGACAACGUUCAAAUGUUACGCCACCUACUGUUUCCCCGCUUCUUCUUCUGACGUUAAUUGAUGGCAAACAACGCGUGAUGUCCGCCGCCGUCUGAUAGAAAGCAUAAAUUUUCUCAAUUGCCUUCAUUUGAAAGUUGCUCAUAGCCAAAAAUGGCUAUUUUCAGAUGGACAUAUAACUUUAUCUAAAUUCUGAGAUGUGAAUCUCAACAUCCUCGCGAGAUUUAGCACGACACCCCAUGAAUCUGUCCAAUCAUUUUUGCUCUUCCUGGAAAACACGCAUGCGCAUUUAGUGGGCGGAUGUGACUUGAUUUCGAUUGGAAGAAACAAUUCAGCAUUGAAGGAAUAACAACUGAAAUCAUCCCGUCCUGCAGCCACCAAUGUGAAUGUGGAAAAUGACGACCAAUGUUUAAAGCGUGCAUAUCACAACAUACAAGAUGCCGUCAUGGCGACACACAACUUAUCACCCAAGAUGCUCGUCACUCCUGUUGCAUGCUGGCAGCAGGGUAACACUGCAGGAGGCGGUGCCUCCUGAUGGAACCCAAAACACUGCUCUUCAAAUGGAACACAUCCAACCUUCAGGUGUCCAUGCAGGUUGUACCACUCUGGAACAUCAAGCCUCUCCCUACGUACCAGCACAUGAAAUUAUUUCUACUUCUAACCAUCAAAGACAUGGAAAACCAUUUUCCAGUUCAGCCCUCCAGAUGCUCCUGAUGGCCUAACAACUGAACUACAUGUCGAUGCUGAGUAUGAUCUAUCUCAAUCAUUUGAGGAAGCUCUCCCUGAUAUAGGAGAUUGGAUGUACAAUGACGGACAUACGUUUAAUGAAGGAUUUGAAGAUAGUUUGAGUGAGGAGUGUGCAGAAGAGUCACAUUUCAAGGACACAACAGACAAACCAAUAAAUGACAAUGCAUCAGAAACCGUGGCAGAGUGUCUUCUGAUCAUCAUGGGUUAUGUAAACUGUCAUAAAGUCACUGAUAAGGCCCUAAGUGAUAUGCUCAAAAUGUUCAAGUUGCUUUGUCCCGAUAGUCUGAACACAGACUGCUUAAACAGUGUGCAGAAGUUCAAAAACUUUUUUUUAUCCCGCUCUGCAUCAACGCCUAUUAUAUUACAUAAAUCCUCCAGUAAUUGUUUUGGACCAAUUGAAAGUAAACAAAUAAAAUGCCUGUUUUGUGGGACCAGUGUGUCAGAAGAAAGAUUAUCAUCCUUUUUUAAAGUAUGGACAGAUUGAUUUCUUCUUUACCAUAGCACAAUCAUGUGCCAAAUGGGCCCUUGUUCGUGAUUUUAAACAUGCAGGUUUUUCUUUGCUGCAAGAUAGUGUAACAUAUGAGACAUGCAGUCCUGUUAUUCCCCUAUUGGAAACCUCUGCCAGUACAGUAGUAUCCUUGGAUGACAUAUUGGGUAAAGUUGUUUUACUUGACUCCACAUUCAUGCCUGGCAUUGUGUUUGCAGUUAAAUUCCCAAACACACUUGAAAAGCUUUAAAUAAUUAAGAACUGAACUGGCUUAAGAAGCCACAAAUCAAAUAUUUGAUCAUUGUUAUAAAUGCUCUGAAAAUACACACUGAUGUGAUGUUGCCGUGGAUGCUGUAAAAGUCUGUAAAUAUGUACUGUAUAUGGAGUACCAUUGUUAAUUAAGUUUUUGAAUUGUGUGUCAUAUUUCAGUGGCCAAUAUAUUAAAUUUACUUUUGAAAUAAAA